CUUUUAUCGAAUAUAGACUUUAUAAGGGCUUAAAUGCAAAAUCCCCUAUUUUGUAAAUGGCUCCAUGUUGGAUUUCAUGUUUCAGAUUGGGACCCCAAAAACUCGAACCCAUUAGCCCAAAUCUCCUUCCUCCGUCUUUCCAUUUCUCUUCCCUGAUCAAAGUCCUAAACUCCAUGGCCGACGAUGAAGAGCUUCCACAAACUCCACUGACCUAUCACAUGCUAACCUAUACCAUCGACGGCCGGCCUAAGACCGUCGUCUGACUGUCGGUGAGCUGGCAAUCGAAAGAAAGAUUGACGAGAGUUGGGG
Molecule: long non-coding RNA, 309 nt
Filed under: Elaeis guineensis (African oil palm)
Lineage: Eukaryota; Viridiplantae; Streptophyta; Magnoliopsida; Arecales; Arecaceae
Description: long non-coding RNA (EGUI_LNC040613)
Source: RNAcentral